RNAcentral lists this non-coding RNA (198 nucleotides) under Paenibacillus stellifer. RNAcentral describes it as "Lysine sequence". It matches the Rfam family "Lysine riboswitch aptamer". From Rfam's summary of the family: Riboswitches are metabolite binding domains within certain messenger RNAs that serve as precision sensors for their corresponding targets. Lineage: Bacteria; Bacillati; Bacillota; Bacilli; Caryophanales; Paenibacillaceae. The record is from Rfam by way of RNAcentral.
AGAUGAGGUAGAGGUCGCGGAUAUGAAGAGUACGCGCGGGGAGACGUCAAAGAGCCGUCCACGAACCGCCGCGGAAAGGCAUAGCCGCCGAAGUCCAUGCCGCCGCUCUUGUCCGGCAUGGACUGGGGCCGUACCCGAAAGGGACGGAACUGUCACGCCUGCGAAGCUUGCUUCGCGGCGUGUUGCGCUAUCUUCACU